RNAcentral lists this ribosomal RNA (812 nucleotides) under uncultured bacterium. Its description in RNAcentral is "bacterial SSU rRNA". It matches the Rfam family "Bacterial small subunit ribosomal RNA", at positions 66 to 873 of the family's 1533-position model. The record is from RNAcentral.
GCGGUAGAGAGAAGCUUGCUUCUCUUGAGAGCGGCGGACGGGUGACCAAUGCCUAGGAAUCUGCCUGGUAGUGGGGGAUAACGUUCGGCAACGGACGCUAAUACCGCAUACGUCCUACGGGAGAAAGCAGGGGACCUUCGGGCCUUGCGCUAUCAGAUGAGCCUAGGUCGGAUUAGCUAGUUGGUGAGGUAAUGGCUCACCAAGGCGACGAUCCGUAACUGGUCUGAGAGGAUGAUCAGUCACACUGGAACUGAGACACGGUCCAGACUCCUACGGGAGGCAGCAGUGGGGAAUAUUGGACAAUGGGCGAAAGCCUGAUCCAGCCAUGCCGCGUGUGUGAAGAAGGUCUUCGGAUUGUAAAGCACUUUAAGUUGGGAGGAAGGGUUGUAGAUUAAUACUCUGCAAUUUUGACGUUACCGACAGAAUAAGCACCGGCUAACUCUGUGCCAGCAGCCGCGGUAAUACAGAGGGUGCAAGCGUUAAUCGGAAUUACUGGGCGUAAAGCGCGCGUAGGUGGUUUGUUAAGUUGGAUGUGAAAUCCCCGGGCUCAACCUGGGAACUGCAUUCAAAACUGACUGACUAGAGUAUGGUAGAGGGUGGUGGAAUUUCCUGUGUAGCGGUGAAAUGCGUAGAUAUAGGAAGGAACACCAGUGGCGAAGGCGACCACCUGGACUAAUACUGACACUGAGGUGCGAAAGCGUGGGGAGCAAACAGGAUUAGAUACCCUGGUAGUCCACGCCGUAAACGAUGUCAACUAGCCGUUGGAAGCCUUGAGCUUUUAGUGGCGCAGCUAACGCAUUAAGUUGACCGCC